Molecule: ribosomal RNA, 468 nt
Filed under: uncultured bacterium
Lineage: Bacteria
Description: partial 16S ribosomal RNA
Rfam family: Bacterial small subunit ribosomal RNA
Source: RNAcentral
GACGAACGCUGGCGGCGUGCUUAACACAUGCAAGUCGAACGGAAAGGCCCUGCUUUUGUGGGGUGCUCGAGUGGCGAACGGGUGAGUAACACGUGAGUAACCUGCCCUUGACUUUGGGAUAACUUCAGGAAACUGGGGCUAAUACCGGAUAGGAGCUCCUGCUGCAUGGUGGGGGUUGGUAAGUUUCGGCGGUUGGGGAUGGACUCGCGGCUUAUCAGCUUGUUGGUGGGGUAGUGGCUUACCAAGGCUUUGCCGGGUAGCCGGCCUGAGAGGGUGACCGGCCACAUUGGGACUGAGAUACGGCCCAGACUCCUACGGGAGGCAGCAGUGGGGAAUAUUGCACAAUGGGCGGAAGCCUGAUGCAGCAACGCCGCGUGCGGGAUGACGGCCUUCGGGUUGUAAACCGCUUUCGCCUGUGACGAAGCGUGAGUGACGGUAAUGGGUAAAGAAGCACCGGCUAACUACGUG